Molecule: long non-coding RNA, 878 nt
Organism: Gallus gallus (chicken)
Lineage: Eukaryota; Metazoa; Chordata; Aves; Galliformes; Phasianidae
Source: Ensembl
AUUUAAGGACUGACUGCCCCCUAGGGAAGGAUCUCUGGUUGGAGGUCCUACUCUUGUGGAGUUUUCUCUGCCGGCCUAGAUGGAUAAAAAAUACAGAAGGUUCAUUAACCAAAAUCCAUACAUAAACAAAGAAAACACGUAUAUGUAGGAGACUACAAACUCAAGGGAAGAGGAAAGUGGGAAGUUAAGGCUAAGGCCGUGAUGAUGUUGUCCUCUGGAAUCUACAGUCAUCAUUUGCUUUAGUGCUUCUCCCAGCUGGAAAACCAAGGAUGAUGUUUUUCAGCACUUCAGAAUGAAGUUGUGUUUACUGUAGUGCUUUGAGUAAUAGUGAGAGCAUGUGUUGAAGGACCCUACUUGUUUAACAACAAAAUUCGGAUUUCAUUCCGUAGGUUUCACAAAUCUGGGAAACGGCACUUGAGCAUUGUUUGAAAUAGUUUAAUUAUUUGACUGCUCUGCUAUCUUGUAGAAUCCUCAAAGUGAAACAUUAAAAUGAUUCUCAAAGGGAACUACAUUUAUUUUCUUGUAAUGUCAGUCCGUCACAUAUAGCAGACCAAAACAUAAUAGGUGCUAAAUUACUUUUUUCCAUGAACUCUCAUCUCUCUUUUUCUUAUUUUAAUAUAUACAAUUGUAACUAUUUUCUUUUCCCUUUUAUGCAAAUGUCAGCCUUCCUGCCAAGAGCUGAAAAGAUUUCACAAUGGAUGCAGAAGAAAAAAGUGCCUGAAGCAAGACUUUUUUUUCCCCACUUCUCCCAUGGUUACAAAGAACUAUACAUUAUCCAGCAUAGAGAAACAACCUACUGCAUUAUAUUUAGUACCAAUUAUUCUUGAGCCUACCUGUGUGUUUUCUUCAUGUUAAUAAACUCUGUUGAGGUGUUUAUG